Chinchilla lanigera (long-tailed chinchilla) is the source of this 1721-nucleotide long non-coding RNA. Ensembl lists it as uncharacterized. Lineage: Eukaryota; Metazoa; Chordata; Mammalia; Rodentia; Chinchillidae. The record is from Ensembl.
CGGUACUGGGAAUCAAACUCAGGACCUUGCGCUUGCCAGACAGGUGCUUGUGCUGCUGAGCUAUAUCCCUGACCCUCUGCAGAAAUUAUUCAAAAUAGUCAAAGAUAAAGGCAGUGCAAGAGAUGGCCUAACAUCAAGUCUUCUAUUUUCAGUCGUCUGUUUCUCCAAAUUAGGAAGUUUCCCACAGUCAUCAAAACCAUCACAUUUGAAUUUAAAAAGGAUUUAGCAGAGCUGUGCCUUUCAGUGAACUCAGUCUGUUUCCUUGUUGUUCCUGCUGCUUCCAGUGGGCCAAGAGUGAGCACGAUACCAUACACCCCACCAGCACUGAAGGACCCAUUCUUCCACACCUUCCUGUGCCAAGUCUGUCAAAGAACCAAGAGAGACUCAGAGUGGAGCACGCUGUAAAGAUCAAGACAUCGUGUACAUGCUUUAGAAAGUGCUGUGCUACUUUGCUUCUGCACAUGCAGACUGCCUGGGUGCUGAAUGCACAGGGGAAAAAAGACCAAUGAGAAAAUAGCACCUAAGAAUGCAGCGCGGUACUGACAGCUAUGCACUUUUAGCUGCAGAACACCCUUGCUGCUGAGGUCCAGGGCUAUGGUUUCACUUACCUGACAUAAGCAGAUGGUGAAAUACACUCCAGGGAGCUGGGUGGACCAACAUUCUGCACAGGGAAGGCAACUAGAGAGCCAAGGCCAGAACAUUUUGAGGCUUCUUCAGAUAUCACUCGUUCUUCGCACGAACUUGGAUAAAUCACUGGUUCUUCCUCACCCUGAGCUGCCCCAUGUGUGGAGUGCAGCUGUGAUGCGUGGAAUCCGCGUGAGUGUUGGUACCACUUGCAUAUGUAAGGGACUCAAUGGUUUUUUGCAAUGGCUCACACAUAGGAACAAGUCAACACCGACAACUGACUGCACUGUGAUGAAGAAGCUGCUGCCUUGAGUACAUGGGCACUGGGAAGUGAAGAUUGGCUUGUCAUGCUCCCCUUUCCUGUGUCAUCUAUGUGGUCAGUGUUGCACAUGCUGAAGUGAUAAGGUGUACAGCCGGGAGCAAAGCAGGAGGUGAACCUAAAGAAGCUGCUUGUGCAGAAAGUAAGGAUGUGCUCAAAAUCUGACAAGUCAGUCUGUGAGCACAGGAGCCAGACUGAAGGAGCAGUGAGUGGAGACUGCAGGGUGGAGGUGUGGGUCCUGCAGAAGAGUGAUCCAGGUAGAACAGCGUCCUCCCGGGAAGCACAGAUGCUGCUGUGAGCUCAAGGAGAAGUAGAGGGCCAGGGAAGCUGGACUGAGAAAGCAAAGUGCAAAACAUUCAUUCAACAGCUGUCAGAGAGGUUCUGGGGACCCCACACGAAGGGCCUGUGAUCCACUCCUGAGGACGUGGAUGUCAACUCUGAGUGCUGGGAAGCUGAUGGUGGAUUGUGAUCGAAGAGCCCCGCUGGCCUGACUCAUAUUUGGAAAGGACCACACUGGUGAGUGUGUCAAGAGUCAACCUUGCAUUAGGGGGACAUGCAGGCAGGGGAGGGAGGCCAUUGCUGUCUUUCAGGCCAUAAAAGGUGGUGGCCCGGGUCAGGAAGGUACCUUGCAAGGAGUCACACUGUGCAGGCAGAGGCAGCAAGGUUCCCUGUGGGCUUUGAGUGACGUAGAUGAGACGGGGUGGAGGAAGGUGUCCACAGCAACACUGUGGAGGUGACACUCAGCAGGCCCUGGGGUGGGCUUCGGUCCAGACGUACC